Molecule: transfer RNA, 72 nt
Filed under: Camelus bactrianus (Bactrian camel)
Lineage: Eukaryota; Metazoa; Chordata; Mammalia; Artiodactyla; Camelidae
Also listed under: 2 other names
Rfam family: tRNA
About the family: Transfer RNA (tRNA) molecules are approximately 80 nucleotides in length. Their secondary structure includes four short double-helical elements and three loops (D, anti-codon, and T loops).
Source: Rfam by way of RNAcentral
UGAGGUAUAGCUCAGUGGUAGAGCACUUGCCUAGCAUGCAUGAGGUCCUGGGUUCAAUCUCCAGUAUCUCCA